RNAcentral lists this ribosomal RNA (254 nucleotides) under uncultured bacterium. RNAcentral's name for it is "partial 16S ribosomal RNA". It matches the Rfam family "Bacterial small subunit ribosomal RNA", at positions 524 to 776 of the family's 1533-position model. The record is from RNAcentral.
CACGUAGGGGGCAAGCGUUGUCCGGAUUUAUUGGGCGUAAAGAGCUCGUAGGUGGUUCAGUAAGUCGGGUGUGAAACCUCCAGGCUCAACCUGGAGACGCCACCCGAUACUGCUGUGACUAGAGUCCAGUAGGGGAGCGUGGAAUUCCUGGUGUAGCGGUGAAAUGCGCAGAUAUCAGGAGGAACACCAGUGGCGAAGGCGGCGCGCUGGGCUGGAACUGACACUGAGGAGCGAAAGCGUGGGGAGCGAACAGG